This 69-nucleotide transfer RNA is filed under the name Ovis aries (sheep). It matches the Rfam family "tRNA". Rfam says of the family: Transfer RNA (tRNA) molecules are approximately 80 nucleotides in length. Their secondary structure includes four short double-helical elements and three loops (D, anti-codon, and T loops). Further hydrogen bonds mediate the characteristic L-shaped molecular structure. tRNAs have two regions of fundamental functional importance: the anti-codon, which is responsible for specific mRNA codon recognition, and the 3' end, to which the tRNAs corresponding amino acid is attached (by aminoacyl-tRNA synthetases). tRNAs cope with the degeneracy of the genetic code in two manners: having more than one tRNA (with a specific anti-codon) for a particular amino acid; and 'wobble' base-pairing, i.e. permitting non-standard base-pairing at the 3rd anti-codon position. The record is from Rfam by way of RNAcentral. Lineage: Eukaryota; Metazoa; Chordata; Mammalia; Artiodactyla; Bovidae.
CCUGGUGGCUCAGAUGGUAGAGGGUCUGACUGCAAAGCAGGAGACCCGGGUUCAAUCCCUGGGUCAGGA